AUUCAGCUGACGAGUCCCAAAUAGGACGAAACACGCGUCAAACUGGAU
Molecule: non-coding RNA, 48 nt
Organism: Schistosoma rodhaini
Lineage: Eukaryota; Metazoa; Platyhelminthes; Trematoda; Strigeidida; Schistosomatidae
Source: Rfam